This is an RNA transcript of Ziziphus jujuba (common jujube), 1898 nucleotides long. It is a transcript of the gene named DNA repair protein RAD51 homolog 2, with no coding region annotated. The record is from RefSeq and is a predicted model, not a curated record. The transcript has 13 exons. Lineage: Eukaryota; Viridiplantae; Streptophyta; Magnoliopsida; Rosales; Rhamnaceae.
AGUAAACGCCACCACCUGAACAAUAUUAAAAUAUUCAAAAUAUUUCGGUAUCACCAUCAAAAUAUAUACACAAUGUUUCAUAAUUGUGUAAAAGGGAAUUAAAAAAAUAUUUGAUUAAAAAACAAGAAAAAUACUUUUUUUUUUUUUGGAUGAAUUAGCACUCAGCAGAAAAUUCCACGUGAUAGAAUUAAGUAAUCGAUCACUCAGACAAUCACAGAGAUAGGUCGGUUAGUUGUUGGGUCUGAAAUGUGGAGUCAUGAUCUUUUUAUUAGGGUUUUGAAUUUGGCGGGAAAGAAAAAAAAAAAAAAGGACACAGAGAGAAGAAGAAGAAGAAGUGGAGUUAUGGAGAAGAAGCUCAUCAAGGAAAUGGGUUUGCCCAAAUCGAUUGCCAACGUUUUCGCUGCGCGCAAUAUCACCACCGCCGAGGAAGUAUUAUCCUUGACUGAAUUCGAGCUGAUGCAGUUGCUCGAUGUGGGACUGGCAGAAGUUGCCUCCGCAGUAGCGCGUAUCAGCGAAAUCGCGUGCCCGCCAUAUCAAACCGUUCUAUCUCUAAUGAAGCAGCGGAUUCGAAAGGAUAACCAUGGUGGUCACCUUCCCACACGUCUGAAAGGGCUAGAUAAGGCCUUAUGUGGUGGGAUUCCAUUUGGUGUUUUGACAGAGCUGGUUGGUCCUGCUGGAAUUGGCAAAACACAGUUCUGCAUGAAGCUCUCGUUAUUGGCUUCAUUACCAACAUCAUGUGGAGGAUUAAAUGGGCGUGUGAUCUACAUUGAUGUAGAAUCCAAACUUACUUCAAGAAGGAUAAUAGAAAUUGGAACAGAAAGUUUGCCAGAAAUAUUUCAAAUCAAAGGAAUGGCACAGGAAAUGGCUGGUAGGAUCCUUGUUUUGCGGCCAGCAUCACUUCAUGAGUUCACUGAGAGUUUGCAACAAAUCAAGGUUUCAAUUUUUCAGCAUCAAGUGAAGUUGCUUGUGAUUGAUAGCAUGGCUGCUGUUGUUUCAAGGGAUUAUGGGCAUGCCGCUCUUAGACAACAUUCACUAGGUUGGCAUAUUUCUUUUAUCAAAUCCCUUGCUGAACUUUCCCGAAUCCCUGUUGUAGUUACAAAUCAAGUAAGAUCACAAAGCCGUGAUGAAGCUUGCCACUAUUCUUUUCAAGCACAGAGCAGAGGGAAAGCCACAGAGGUUCCUGCAGGAUAUGAUUCGCAUCUUGUUGCUGCUCUGGGGAUUCACUGGGCUCAUGCUGUGACCAUUCGUCUUGUGCUUGAAGCUAAAUCAGGUGAGAGAUUCAUCAAACUGGCAAAAUCUCCAAUAUCACCUCCUCUUGCUUUCCCUUUCACCAUAACAUCAUCUGGGAUCUCAUUGCUAAAUGAUGAUGGACAAGAAUUGAGAGGAACCGAGAUAAGCACAAUUCAUUGUCAAGGCCACAACGACAUUAUUAAUUUUAAUGGGAACGGGAAAGGGAAAGGUUGAAUCGAGCAAUGAGGGCAACUACAAAGCUCAAUUUUCAGGCAUGUUGACUAAUUGUCUAUGCCCAUAGUCACGCAAUUUGAAAGGUGGGAUAAAGAACAACCAAUCCAUGUUAACUUAUAAAAAGGUAAAGAGAUAGCAGCAACUUUUCUUGCACUUGGACAAAGAGAUGGAAAGUAGAGAGGCCAAUGCUUUUUUGUACGCAAGGAUUGGUACUGCACUGUACCAAAGACAAGGGAACGACUAAAAGUAGAAAUCAAAUGUUUAAGUGGAGGAAUGAUAGUCUUGGUAUAAAGACAGUAAAUUUGUGCUUCAAUUAGGUAAAUGAAAUUUUUUAUAGAAUAUUGCAGCCAUGCAUUGUAUCUGGGUGCUAAUCAAUAAGUACUGUUAACUUAUUUAUUUAUUUUAUAGCCUCUGAUAUAUACCAAUAUUUUCUA